AACCGCCGUAUGCGGAACCGCACGUAUGGUGGUGUGAGAGGGCGGCGGAAGUAAUUCCGUCCCCUACUCGAU
This 72-nucleotide non-coding RNA is filed under the name mine drainage metagenome. The record is from RNAcentral.